Molecule: ribosomal RNA, 497 nt
Filed under: uncultured bacterium
Lineage: Bacteria
Description: partial 16S ribosomal RNA
Rfam family: Bacterial small subunit ribosomal RNA
Source: RNAcentral
GAUGAACGCUGGCGGCGUGCCUAAUACAUGCAAGUCGAGCGGACAGACGAGAAGCUUUCUCCUCUGCCGUUAGCGGGGGACGGGUGAGUAACACGUCUAUAACCUACCUAUAAGACUGGGAUAACUUCGUGAAACCGGAACCUAUACCGGCUAAUAUAUUGAACCGCAUAGUUCAAUAGUGACUGACGGUUUUUCUCUCACUUAUAGAUGGAGCCGCAGCGCAUUAGCUAGUUGGUAAGGUAACGGCUUACCAAGGCAACGAUGCGUAGCCGACCUGAGAGGGUGAUCAGCCACACUGGAACUGAGACACGGUCCAGACUCCUACGGGAGGCAGCAGUAGGGAAUAUUGCACAAUGGGCGCAAGCCUGAUGCAGCCAUGCCGCGUGAGUGAUGAAGGCCUUCGGAUCGUAAAGCUCUGUUAGCAGGGAAGAACAAAUGUGUGUUAAAACCUGUACGUAUUGACGGUACCCAAAGAGUAAGCACCGGCUAACUUCGUG